This 406-nucleotide ribosomal RNA is filed under the name uncultured bacterium. RNAcentral describes it as "partial 16S ribosomal RNA". It matches the Rfam family "Bacterial small subunit ribosomal RNA", at positions 30 to 526 of the family's 1533-position model. The record is from RNAcentral.
AUUGAACGCUGGCGGCAGGCCUAACACAUGCAAGUCGAACGAGUGGCGGACGGGUGAGUAAUGUCUGGGAAACUGCCUGAUGGAGGGGGCUAACUACUGGAAACGGUAGCUAAUACCGCAUACCAUCGGAUGUGCCCAGAUGGGAUUAGCUAGUCGGUGGGGUAAAGGCUCACCUAGGCGACGAUCCCUAGCUGUUCUGAGAGUAUGACCAGCCACACCGGAACGGAGACACGGCCCAGACGCCUACGGGAGGCAGCAGUGGGGAAUAUUGCACAAUGGGCGCAAGCCUGAUAGAGCCAGGCCGCGUGUAUGAAUAAGGCCUUCGGGUUGUAAAGUACUUUCAGCGGGGAGGCGUUACCCGCAGAAGAAGCACCGGCUAACUCCGUGCCAGCAGCCGCGGUAAUUC